GACGAACGCUGGCGGCGUGCUUAACACAUGCAAGUCGAGCGGUAAGGCCCUUUCGGGGUACGACGAGCGGCGAACGGGUGAGUAACACGUGGGUGACCUGCCCUCAGCUCUGGGAUAAGCCUGGGAAACCGGGUCUAAUACCGGAUAUGACUCCAUGACGCAUGUUGUGGGGUGGAAAGCCUUGUGCGGCUGAGGAUGGGCCCGCGGCCUAUCAGCUUGUUGGUGGGGUGAUGGCCUACCAAGGCGACGACGGGUAGCCGGCCUGAGAGGGCGACCGGCCACACUGGGACUGAGACACGGCUCAGACUCCUACGGGAGGCAGCAGUGGGGAAUCUUGCGCAAUGGGCGAAAGCCUGACGCAGCGACGCCGCGUGA
RNAcentral lists this ribosomal RNA (375 nucleotides) under uncultured bacterium. Its description in RNAcentral is "bacterial SSU rRNA". It matches the Rfam family "Bacterial small subunit ribosomal RNA", at positions 28 to 404 of the family's 1533-position model. The record is from RNAcentral.